AGCUCCGGUGGCCUAGUGGUUAGAGCGUCUGCACCGGAGGAAGAAGGUUGUGGGUUCAAACCCCGGCCGAGUCA
This is a non-coding RNA of Potamilus streckersoni, 74 nucleotides long. NCBI's taxonomy places the organism in Eukaryota, Metazoa, Mollusca, Bivalvia, Unionida, Unionidae. The record is from the annotation of a GenBank genome assembly.